This 546-nucleotide unclassified non-coding RNA is filed under the name Hevea brasiliensis (rubber tree). The record is from RNAcentral. Lineage: Eukaryota; Viridiplantae; Streptophyta; Magnoliopsida; Malpighiales; Euphorbiaceae.
UUUUUUUUUGGUUUGAGAUUGAACAAUGGGAUCAUCUUCGGGGCAGGUUAGUGGCUUUGAUCUCUCAUUCAAGAUCUUGUUGAUUGGUGAUUCUGGGGUUGGUAAAAGCAGUCUUCUUGUCAGUUUUAUUUCCAGUUCUGUAGAGGAUCUUUCUCCCACCAUUGGUAUUAAAAUUCUUAUCCAUUUCUGUGAAUCUCUUUCUCGUUGUCGUUUUACUGUUCCAUGGAUUCUUAGUUUGCAAGAUUGGUGUAAUGCUUUUGGAUCUCUUUCCAGCUGAAAAGCAUCUGGCUGGUUGUAAAACACGACACUACUUAUGGGUUUUUGAUGGGUUUAGCUUAUUUUAGUUGCUCUUCGUUUUUUAUUCGUGAUGAAAUGUGUAUCAGUGAGCAAAUGUCUUUCUGUGAACUUUGUAUCUACAUAAAAAGGAAAAAUUAAAGGAGAGUUGUGUGAUUGCUUCAUUUAAUUUGGAUUGAUUAAUACAGAUGAAAUGUUCACUUCUCUAAUAUGAUUAUACAUUGUGUUAAGGUGUUGAUUUUAAGAUCAAGC